This 96-nucleotide non-coding RNA is filed under the name Arthrobacter sp. RNAcentral's name for it is "SAM-I sequence". It matches the Rfam family "SAM riboswitch aptamer (S box leader)". From Rfam's summary of the family: The SAM riboswitch is found upstream of a number of genes which code for proteins involved in methionine or cysteine biosynthesis in Gram-positive bacteria. The SAM riboswitch acts at the level of transcription termination control. The predicted structure consists of a complex stem-loop region followed by a single stem loop terminator region. The record is from RNAcentral. Lineage: Bacteria; Bacillati; Actinomycetota; Actinomycetes; Micrococcales; Micrococcaceae.
ACACCAUCCAGAGCGGCUGAGAGACCUGGCUCGUUGACGCCGCAGCAACCACUUCCUUAUGACGGAGGCCGGUGCUACCGCCAGGACCGAUGGAGA